UGGGAGAAAAAUCAGGACGGAAAGGCCCAGCCCCUCGCCAUGCAGACGGGAAGCUCGGCCUGCACAUGUGAGGACCCUUACGCCCCUUGGGGCUUCACCCCCUUUGCUGGCUCCAAUAGUCUGGGUCGGGGCCUCCUUGUCCUGUGGGGGCCUCUGGGCCACAAGAACACAGGCCCGAGCCCCGGCGAGCUCGCGGGCCUCCCACCAGCCGUGCUCAGGCUGCACUUCUGCACCCCAGCCCUGCACCUGCGGGACCACCUGGGUCACUUUUCCAUUCUGAUAAAGUCCCCGUACUUCGUGGCUGCAGGCUCCUCAAGCCCCAGGUCUGUGCAGGGAUGAGCAAAACAGCAGAAUAUCCGCGCUACAUCUUUCUGGAGCACCCAUUUUACUACCAGAUUUGGAAGGAACAAAGUUAAGUAAUUUCCAGGAUAAGUAA
RNAcentral lists this long non-coding RNA (436 nucleotides) under Homo sapiens (human). RNAcentral describes it as "non-protein coding lnc-MTRNR2L1-1:3". Lineage: Eukaryota; Metazoa; Chordata; Mammalia; Primates; Hominidae. The record is from RNAcentral.